AGACCCGAAACCCGGUGAUCUAGCCAUGGGCAGGUUGAAGGUUGGGUAACACUAACUGGAGGACCGAACCGACUAAUGUUGAAAAAUUAGCGGAUGACCUGUGGCUGGGGGUGAAAGGCCAAUCAAACCGGGAGAUAGCUGGUUCUCCCCGAAAGCUAUUUAGGUAGCGCCUCGUGAAUUCAUCUCCGGGGGUAGAGCACUGUUUCGGCUAGGGGGCCAUCCCGGCUUACCAACCCGAUGCAAACUGCGAAUACCGGAGAAUGUUAUCACGGGAGACACACGGCGGGUGCUAACGUCCGUCGUGAAGAGGGAAACAACCCAGACCGCCAGCUAAGGUCCCAAAGUCAUGGUUAAGUGGGAAACGAUGUGGGAAGGCCCAGACAGCCAGGAUGUUGGCUUAGAAGCAGCCAUCAUUUAAAGAAAGCGUAAUAGCUCACUGGUCGAGUCGGCCUGCGCGGAAGAUGUAACGGGGCUAAACCAUGCACCGAAGCUGCGGCAGCGACACUGUGUGUUGUUGGGUAGGGGAGCGUUCUGUAAGCCUGUGAA
RNAcentral lists this ribosomal RNA (546 nucleotides) under Salmonella enterica. RNAcentral's name for it is "partial 23S ribosomal RNA". It matches the Rfam family "Bacterial large subunit ribosomal RNA", at positions 711 to 1254 of the family's 2925-position model. The record is from RNAcentral. RNAcentral also lists the same sequence under 1 other name. Lineage: Bacteria; Pseudomonadati; Pseudomonadota; Gammaproteobacteria; Enterobacterales; Enterobacteriaceae.